GACAUGCUGGGAGCCAUUAGCCAAGUAGGUAUGACAAUUUCCUUGCCAGCGUACCCCAUGUUGCAGUGACAUUGAAUGUACGUGACCUUGCUCAAGGACCAAGGCAGAUUAGGGUGUUCCUGGUUUUAAGAUAAUGGUGUUUAGGGCGUUCCCAGUUUAGGUUCCAGGUUUAAGGUUUAAGAUUAUUCCUGCUGGGAAUAGGGCGUAUCCUGCUGCCUGAGUUCCCCUUGAGUUCUCACGGGAUUUAGACAAUAUAUUUUGGAGAUAGAAGCCCAGUGGAGGUGAAUUUGGGAGAGAACGUGGAUUUGGGCAGAGAAUGUGGAUUUCCCCAGAACGUGGUUGUAGACGGCUGGUGUGAGUUCGGGAAUAAAGAGUUGCUGUUUGAAUCUACAAGCUGUGUGGUGGCUCGUGAUUG
Molecule: long non-coding RNA, 415 nt
Filed under: Marmota monax (woodchuck)
Lineage: Eukaryota; Metazoa; Chordata; Mammalia; Rodentia; Sciuridae
Source: RNAcentral